RNAcentral lists this transfer RNA (76 nucleotides) under Halomonas halmophila. RNAcentral describes it as "tRNA-Ala". It matches the Rfam family "tRNA". From Rfam's summary of the family: Transfer RNA (tRNA) molecules are approximately 80 nucleotides in length. Their secondary structure includes four short double-helical elements and three loops (D, anti-codon, and T loops). RNAcentral also lists the same sequence under 5 other names. Lineage: Bacteria; Pseudomonadati; Pseudomonadota; Gammaproteobacteria; Oceanospirillales; Halomonadaceae. The record is from RNAcentral.
GGGGCCUUAGCUCAGCUGGGAGAGCGCAACACUGGCAGUGUUGAGGUCAGCGGUUCGAGCCCGCUAGGCUCCACCA